Molecule: ribosomal RNA, 218 nt
Filed under: uncultured bacterium
Lineage: Bacteria
Description: partial 16S ribosomal RNA
Rfam family: Bacterial small subunit ribosomal RNA
Source: RNAcentral
UAACAUUUGGAAACAGAUGCUAAUACCGCAUAAAUCCAAGAACCGCAUGGUUCUUGGCUGAAAGAUGGCGUAAGCUAUCGCUUUUGGAUGGACCCGCGGCGUAUUAGCUAGUUGGUGAGGUAACGGCUCACCAAGGCAAUGAUACGUAGCCGAACUGAGAGGUUGAUCGGCCACAUUGGGACUGAGACACGGCCCAAACUCCUACGGGAGGCAGCAUG